RNAcentral lists this ribosomal RNA (402 nucleotides) under uncultured bacterium. Its description in RNAcentral is "bacterial SSU rRNA". It matches the Rfam family "Bacterial small subunit ribosomal RNA", at positions 355 to 774 of the family's 1533-position model. The record is from RNAcentral.
UGGGGAAUAUUGCACAAUGGGGGAAACCCUGAUGCAGCAACGCCGCGUGAGUGAUGAAGGUUUUCGGAUCGUAAAACUCUGUCUUUGGGGACGAUAAUGACGGUACCCAAGGAGGAAGCCACGGCUAACUACGUGCCAGCAGCCGCGGUAAUACGUAGGUGGCAAGCGUUGUCCGGAUUUACUGGGCGUAAAGGGAGCGUAGGUGGACUUUUAAGUGAGAUGUGAAAUACUCGGGCUCAACCCGAGAACUGCAUUUCAAACUGGAAGUCUAGAGUGCAGGAGAGGAAAGUGGAAUUCCUAGUGUAGCGGUGAAAUGCGUAGAUAUUAGGAAGAACACCAGUGGCGAAGGCGACUUUCUGGACUGUAACUGACACUGAGGCUCGAAAGCGUGGGGAGCAAACA